This 592-nucleotide ribosomal RNA is filed under the name Multifurca stenophylla. RNAcentral describes it as "LSU rRNA". It matches the Rfam family "Eukaryotic large subunit ribosomal RNA", at positions 79 to 645 of the family's 3401-position model. Lineage: Eukaryota; Fungi; Basidiomycota; Agaricomycetes; Russulales; Russulaceae. The record is from RNAcentral.
CCUAGUAACUGCGAGUGAAGCGGGAAAAGCUCAAAUUUAAAAUCUGGCGGUCUUUGGCCGUCCGAGUUGUAAUUUAGAGAAGUGCCUUCCGCGCCGGACCAUGCACAAGUCUCCUGGAAUGGAGCGUCAUAGAGGGUGAGAAUCCCGUCUUUGGCAUGGAGCCCCGGUGCUUCUGUGAUGCGCUCUCGAAGAGUCGAGUUGUUUGGGAAUGCAGCUCAAAAUGGGUGGUGAACUCCAUCUAAAGCUAAAUAUUGGCGAGAGACCGAUAGCGAACAAGUACCGUGAGGGAAAGAUGAAAAGCACUUUGGAAAGAGAGUGAAACAGUACGUGAAAUUGUUGAAAGGGAAACGCUUGAAGUCAGUCGCGUCGACCGAGACUCAGCCUUGCCUUGGCUUGGUGAACUUCUCGGCCGACGGGUCAGCAUCAAUUUUGCCCCUCGGAUAAUGGCAAGGGAAAGGUGGCACCUUUACGGGUGUGUUAUAGUCUCCUGUCGCAUGCGAGGGUCAGGAUUGAGGAACUCAGCGCGCACCUCACGGUGUCGGGGCUUCGGCCCACGUCACGCGCUUAGGAUGCUGGCGUAAUGGCUUUAAAC